UGGGGAAUAUUGCACAAUGGGCGCAAGCCUGAUGCAGCCAUGCCGCGUGUAUGAAGAAGGCCUUCGGGUUGUAAAGUACUUUCAGCGGGGAGGAAGGGAGUAAAGUUAAUACCUUUGCUCAUUGACGUUACCCGCAGAAGAAGCACCGGCUAACUCCGUGCCAGCGGCCGCGGUAAUACGGAGGGUGCAAGCGUUAAUCGGAAUUACUGGGCGUAAAGCGCACGCAGGCGGUUUGUUAAGUCAGAUGUGAAAUCCUCGGGCUCAACCUGGGAACUGCAUCUGAUACUGGCAAGCUUGAGUCUCGUAGAGGGGGGUAGAAUUCCAGGUGUAGCGGUGAAAUGCGUAGAGAUCUGGAGGAAUACCGGUGGCGAAGGCGGCCCCCUGGACGAAGACUGACGCUCAGGUGCGAAAGCGUGGGGAGCAAACAGG
This 429-nucleotide ribosomal RNA is filed under the name Chloroflexota bacterium. RNAcentral's name for it is "Chloroflexi bacterium partial 16S ribosomal RNA". It matches the Rfam family "Bacterial small subunit ribosomal RNA", at positions 355 to 776 of the family's 1533-position model. Lineage: Bacteria; Bacillati; Chloroflexota. The record is from RNAcentral.